UGCGUAGGUGGUGAGGUAAGUCGGAUGUGAAAGCUCGGAGCUCAACUCCGAAAUGGCAUUGGAAACUACCUUGCUCGAGGGUUGGAAGGGGGACUGGAAUGCUUGGUGUAGCAGUGAAAUGCGUAGAUAUCAAGCGGAACACCAGUGGCGAAGGCGAGUCCCUGGACAACUCCUGACACUGAGGCACGAAAGCUAGGGGAGCAAACA
This 207-nucleotide ribosomal RNA is filed under the name uncultured bacterium. RNAcentral's name for it is "partial 16S ribosomal RNA". It matches the Rfam family "Bacterial small subunit ribosomal RNA", at positions 568 to 774 of the family's 1533-position model. The record is from RNAcentral.